AUUGAACGCUGGCGGCAUGCUUUACACAUGCAAGUCGAGCGGCAGCACGGGGGCAACCCUGGUGGCGAGCGGCGAACGGGUGAGUAAUACAUCGGAACAUGCCCAGUCGUGGGGGAUAACACUUCGAAAGAAGUGCUAAUACCGCAUACGUCCUGAGGGAGAAAGCGGGGGAUCGCAAGACCUCGCGCGAUUGGAGUGGCCGAUGUCAGAUUAGCUAGUUGGUGGGGUAAAGGCCUACCAAGGCAACGAUCUGUAGCUGGACUGAGAGGAUGAUCAGCCACACUGGGACUGAGACACGGCCCAGACUCCUACGGGAGGCAGCAGUGGGGAAUUUUGGACAAUGGGGGCAACCCUGAUCCAGCCAUUCCGCGUGAGUGAAGAAGGCCUUCGGGUUGUAAAGCUCUUUCGGCAGGAACGAAACGGCGAGCUCUAACAUAGCUUGCUAAUGACGGUACCUGAAGAAGAAGCACCGGCUAACUACGUG
RNAcentral lists this ribosomal RNA (484 nucleotides) under uncultured bacterium. RNAcentral's name for it is "partial 16S ribosomal RNA". It matches the Rfam family "Bacterial small subunit ribosomal RNA", at positions 30 to 507 of the family's 1533-position model. The record is from RNAcentral.